UUGCUUUCUCAUCAUCUGUACUAAAAUCAUAACAACACAGAGACAAGAAGCAUGGCCCCAGGAAAGGACGACACGCGAGUUUGUGAAGCAUUCCAGCUUUGA
Vombatus ursinus (common wombat) is the source of this 102-nucleotide small nuclear RNA. The record is from Ensembl. Lineage: Eukaryota; Metazoa; Chordata; Mammalia; Diprotodontia; Vombatidae.